RNAcentral lists this ribosomal RNA (449 nucleotides) under uncultured bacterium. RNAcentral's name for it is "partial 16S ribosomal RNA". It matches the Rfam family "Bacterial small subunit ribosomal RNA", at positions 29 to 523 of the family's 1533-position model. The record is from RNAcentral.
AACGAACGCUGGCGGCAUGCCUAACACAUGCAAGUCGAACGAGAUCUUCGGGUCUAGUGGCGCACGGGUGCGUAACGCGUGGGAAUCUGCCCUUUGGUUCGGAAUAACAGUUGGAAACGACUGCUAAUACCGGAUGAUGACGAAAGUCCAAAGAUUUAUCGCCAGAGGAUGAGCCCGCGUAGGAUUAGCUAGUUGGUGUGGUAAAGGCGCACCAAGGCGACGAUCCUUAGCUGGUCUGAGAGGAUGAUCAGCCACACUGGGACUGAGACACGGCCCAGACUCCUACGGGAGGCAGCAGUGGGGAAUAUUGGACAAUGGGCGAGAGCCUGAUCCAGCAAUGCCGCGUGAGUGAUGAAGGCCUUAGGGUUGUAAAGCUCUUUUACCCGGGACGAUAAUGACAGUACCGGGAGAAUAAGCUCCGGCUAACUCCGUGCCAGCCGCCGCAGUAA